RNAcentral lists this long non-coding RNA (2883 nucleotides) under Equus asinus (donkey). RNAcentral's name for it is "lncRNA (ENSEASG00005034312.1)". Lineage: Eukaryota; Metazoa; Chordata; Mammalia; Perissodactyla; Equidae. The record is from RNAcentral.
AGCGGCUCAGCUGUGUCCGGCGCGCGGCCUCGGCGACCUUUGUCUCCUGCUGGCGCCUGCACGGGAGUGUGACCCAGGGCGCUGCAGCUGCGCUCGAGUUUAUGGGGGGCGGGGGGGGCCUGUGUGCGUGUGUGUGUGUGUGUGUGUGUGUGUAAGCGGGGAGGAGGAAGGAGAGGAGGAGACAGGAAAAGCAGGGAGCGAUGGGUGCCGCGUGCCUGUGUGUUUAUGUGUGACGGAAAGACCUAGACUGACUAUCUUUGGAGCCUGUUACUGCGCGCUUCCGUGUGUGUGUUUGUGUGCGUGAGAGUGAGAGAGGGGCGAGGGAAGCGGAGAGAAGGAAUGAUGCCCCCCACCCCGUGCCUGUGCGUUUGCGUCCGGGAGAGAAACUGUCUCUACGCGUAUCUUGCAGAAGUGCGUGAGUGAAGGAGGAGGAACAGAAAUAGAUGUGUGUCCGUGUAUUUGUAUGGUGUGUCAUCUGUACAUUCCGGGGCCUGUAGUACAGGCACGUUGGUGUGGUAGGAAGAUACUUUGUGUCCCUCUUGUAAACAAGUGGAGACCAAAUCUCUGUGUCUGUGUGGUGUAGUGUGUGCAUGUGUAUGUGCACACACAAGAGGGGCGGGGCUGUGAUUUGGUAUAACUGUGUAUGUAGCCCAGUUUGGGAGAGAGUGUGGUGAAAGUGUGUAUGUGUGUAUCUGUGUGACUUUGCGAUAUUUAUGUUGUGUUGAGAAAGAGGAACUAGUGUGUAGGGGGCGUAGUGAGUGUAUGUUCAGGAAAGACAAAGACAUCCCGGAGGAGGUGGGGUUUUGGGGCUUUGAAGUAUGUAUAAGAGUUCUUGAAGCCAGAAAGAAAGACCUGGGGAACCUUGCCUAACAGCCAAGGUUGGGGUGGGGUGGUGGGGAGGGAGUUGAAUCCACUGGGGACAGAGGUGGAUUCUGGGAGAGAGGGCGCCUGCUGUGGGGAGGGACUGUAGGAGCCCCUGGCAGCAACUCCAGUUCAGGGGCUGGCUCAGAGUGACUCUGGGCAUGCGUGGGAGAGAAGGUCCAGGACCCAGUGCCAGGUUCCAAAGGGGACUGUCUGCUCCUGGGCAGUGUGUGUGGCAACCUGGAGGACGGGGAGGUGGCUCUGUAGAUACAGCUGUCUCCCCACUUCCAUUCGAAGGUGCCCUGGAUUCUUCAGUGGGGCACUUGUCAAAAUUCACAAAGCAUGUUGAGUGCAGCAGGACACCUGGUGGGGAGGGAAGGGUGGGCUAUGCCCUAAAGGUGACCAAUCUCUGGGCCUGGAGACCUGGAUCCUCCCUCCCUCCAUGCUGGAGGACUGGUGACUUAUACCAUUGGCUGCCCAGCCCUGGGCUCACUGCAGAUUCCCGACCAAGUGUCUUCCUCGGGAUUGCAACCUGGUGCCUGGAAGGAGGUUCUGAGAUCCAGGGAGUCAUGAAAAUGGAACCCAGUUAUCCUGGCUCUCCAGCAGUGUGAUUCUGGAGGAUUCCCUUCUCUCUGAGCCCCGGUUUUCUCCUCUGUAAAAUGGGGUUUGUAAUUCCUGCCUACCUCACCGUGCUGAUGUGAAGAUUUCACGCGUUAAUGUACACGUGGGCCCUUUGUAAGCAACAAACCACUGGAAAAUGUUAAGCAUUGAUCCAUUUAUGUGAAAUUCAAAAAUAAGCAAAACUAAUCUACGUUGGCAGAGGUCAGGAUAGUGUUGCCUUCGGGGAGGGAUCACUGGAAAGGGGGCUCAGGGGGCCUUCUGGGUGCUGGCGAGCUGGUUUGGGGAUACAGGGGCUGGGUACAUGGUGUGCUCAGUUUGUGAAGGCUCCUUAGGAUCUUUGUUCGGCUAUGUGUGUUCUACUCCAACAACAUGUUCCAAAGAGGAAAAUGGAAGGUUAUGUAUCCUGACCACGUUUCUUCCCUCACACAAGGAGCAUUCUGAAAAGCUCUAUCAGCGAGGCGGGAACCAGGCUGAGGCUUGGGGAGACACGGUGAACAAGAUGUGAUCCUGGCUUGUGAAGAAAACGGAGGAAGGAGGUCGUGGCUUUGUGGCGUCUGAAAGGGGCAUGUUGGCGGGGGGAGGAGCUUGCCCCAAACCACUCCUUGGGCCGGCAGCAGAAGCAGGACGAGAACGAGAACGGAAGCCUCCCGAUGUGGUGGCUGUGUCUCUUCCAUUGUACCAGGCUGCCCCCUGAGGCUGUCCCUGGGCCUAUGCUGCCCGGGGCAAAACAGAGCUGAACUGAAACUACAGUCUAGAGCUCCUGGGGGGAUCACCAAACUCUCCAGGAACAAACUGCCCCCCCGACGCACCAGCCUGUCGGAGAGGAUGUCCUCAGGAAGGCAUCGGAAGGAGCCCAUGAGGAGGCAGGUGGAGAGGGUGCAGGCAGAGCUCAUCAGACCCUAUUAAACUGUUUCUUGACCCACCCAACCCUGCAGAGAGGUUACCUGGGCUGGGGCCUGCCUGGGGAUGUCCCAGCCUGACCCCCUUCCCUUUGGGGCACUAGCUACUCUGAUUCAACUGGACGAUUUGAGUUUCUGUGAGUGAUCAGAGUCCAUUAAGUCCUGACCAACAAGAGCCGCCAUUUGUGAAGUGUGUGCCGGGCCCCAGACUGGGCACUCUACCUGCUUUAAAUACAGGACCAAUGGCAUAUAUUUUGGAUACUAACAUCCCUGCUUUCGCUUGACUUUUUCUACUAUUUUCUCCCUUCGCCCUGAUCUCCUUACCUAAUGUCAAAAUAAAAUAAAAUAAAUCUGUUUUUUUCUGAUUUCAAAUAUAAUGAAUACACACUCACUCAAAAUAAUGUAAACAAUACAUAAAUGAAUACAAUAGAAAAAAGUCCCCCAUAGUCCCAAUCCUCAGAUGUUAACCACUGCUCACUCCUUGACGUGAUUCGCAUGGAGC